This 226-nucleotide non-coding RNA is filed under the name Peptacetobacter hiranonis. RNAcentral's name for it is "Clostridium hiranonis T-box sequence". It matches the Rfam family "T-box leader". Rfam says of the family: Uncharged tRNA acts as the effector for transcription antitermination of genes in the T-box leader family. T-boxes are found upstream of many aminoacyl-tRNA synthetase genes and some amino acid biosynthetic genes usually in Gram-positive bacteria. The anticodon of a specific tRNA base pairs to a specifier sequence within the T-box motif, and the NCCA acceptor tail of the tRNA base pairs to a conserved bulge in the T-box antiterminator hairpin. The record is from RNAcentral. Lineage: Bacteria; Bacillati; Bacillota; Clostridia; Peptostreptococcales; Peptostreptococcaceae.
UUAAAAGCGAUGAAGAGAAGAGUAAGAAUAGAGUAAUUCUACAGAGAGCCAGAGAAGGUGAAAGCUGGUGUUUUGACGAUAUUCUGAAUAUGGACUUGGAGCUUUUUGGUCGAGCAUAGAUGUAAGACCUAAACGUUUAGACACGUUAUAGUCUACUUGAGAUAUCCACUAUUUGUAUAUAUUGUGGAUAAAUUAGGGUGGUACCGCGAAUACAAUCGCCCCUAUG